UUCUUAUCCAGAGAGGUGAAGGGACUGGCCCGUUGAAGCCUCGGCAACAGACUGCUUGCAGUACUGUGCCAAUUCCAGAAGCUUAAUGCUUGAAGAUAAGAA
This 102-nucleotide non-coding RNA is filed under the name Virgibacillus pantothenticus. RNAcentral describes it as "SAM-I sequence". It matches the Rfam family "SAM riboswitch aptamer (S box leader)". From Rfam's summary of the family: The SAM riboswitch is found upstream of a number of genes which code for proteins involved in methionine or cysteine biosynthesis in Gram-positive bacteria. The record is from Rfam by way of RNAcentral. Lineage: Bacteria; Bacillati; Bacillota; Bacilli; Caryophanales; Bacillaceae.